UUUCAAAAACAUUUCUUUUUGAUUAUUUAUUAAAAGUAUAUUCUGCUCAAUGAUUAAUUUUAAAUAGCUGCAGUAUUCUGACUGUACAAAGGUAGCAUAAUAAUUAGUUCAUUAAUUGUGAACUGGAAUGAAUGAAUGAAUGAAAUUUUUAUUUUAUUUUUUUUAUUAUUAAAAUUUUAUUUUUAAGUAAAAAAGCUUAAUUGUUUUUUAGGGACGAUAAGACCCUAUAGAGAUUUAAUAUUAUGUAUUAAUAUUUAUUUUUUGAUUAUUGUUUAUUUUAAUUAUUAUUUAUUUUGGUUGGGGCGAUUGAUAAAUUUUAACUUUAUCUUUUUAUUUCAUUUAUUUAUGAUUAUUUUGAUCCGUUAUUUCUUUUACGAUUAUAAGAAAAAACUACCUUAGGGAUAACAGCGUUAUUUCAAUGGAAAGUUCAUAUUUAUAUUGAAGUUUGCGACCUCGAUGUUGAAUUAAGAUAAGAUUUUGAGGUAGUUUUUAAUUUUCUAAGUCUGUUCGACUUUUAAAUUCUUACAUGAUCUGA
RNAcentral lists this ribosomal RNA (535 nucleotides) under Ianagallia bifurcata. RNAcentral describes it as "partial 16S ribosomal RNA". The stretch from base 401 to 535 matches the Rfam family "Archaeal large subunit ribosomal RNA", at positions 2542 to 2677 of the family's 2987-position model. Lineage: Eukaryota; Metazoa; Arthropoda; Insecta; Hemiptera; Cicadellidae. The record is from RNAcentral.